CAGCCAUUCCGCGAUGCAGGAUGAAGGCCCUCGGGAUUGUAAACUGCUUUUGUACGGAACGAAAGGGCUCUCUCUAAUACAGGGGGCAUAUGACGGUACCGUAAGAAUAAGCACCGGCUAACUACGUGCCAGCAGCCGCGGUAAUACGUAGGGUGCAAGCGUUAAUCGGAAUUACUGGGCGUAAAGCGUGCGCAGGCGGUGGUGUAAGACAGUGGUGAAAUCCCCGGGCUCAACCUGGGAACUGCCAUUGUGACUGCAUUGCUGGAGUGCGGCAGAGGGGGAUGGAAUUCCGCGUGUAGCAGUGAAAUGCGUAGAUAUGCGGAGGAACACCGAUGGCGAAGGCAAUCCCCUGGGCCUGCACUGACGCUCAUGCACGAAAGCGUGGGGAGCAAACAGGAUUAGAUACCCUGGUAGUCCACGCCCUAAACGAUGUCAACUGGUUGUUGGGAAUUUACUUUCUCAGUAACNAAGCUAACGCGUGAAGUUGACCGCCUGGGGAGUACGGCCGCAAGGUUG
RNAcentral lists this ribosomal RNA (516 nucleotides) under uncultured bacterium. RNAcentral's name for it is "bacterial SSU rRNA". It matches the Rfam family "Bacterial small subunit ribosomal RNA", at positions 389 to 896 of the family's 1533-position model. The record is from RNAcentral.